This 421-nucleotide ribosomal RNA is filed under the name uncultured bacterium. RNAcentral describes it as "bacterial SSU rRNA". It matches the Rfam family "Bacterial small subunit ribosomal RNA", at positions 8 to 433 of the family's 1533-position model. The record is from RNAcentral.
AGAGUUUGAUCCUGGCUCAGAUUGAACGCUGGCGGCAUGCCUUACACAUGCAAGUCGAACGGCAGCGCGGGGCAACCUGGCGGCGAGUGGCGAACGGGUGAGUAAUAUAUCGGAACGUACCCUGGAGUGGGGGAUAACGUAGCGAAAGUUACGCUAAUACCGCAUACGAUCUAAGGAUGAAAGUGGGGGAUCGCAAGACCUCAUGCUCCUGGAGCGGCCGAUAUCUGAUUAGCUAGUUGGCGGGGUAAAAGCCCACCAAGGCAACGAUCAGUAGCUGGUCUGAGAGGGCGACCAGCCACACUGGAACUGAGACACGGUCCAGACUCCUACGGGAGGCAGCAGUGGGGAAUUUUGGACAAUGGGCGCAAGCCUGAUCCAGCAAUGCCGCGUGAGUGAAGAAGGCCUUCGGGUUGUAAAGCUC